This 229-nucleotide ribosomal RNA is filed under the name uncultured bacterium. RNAcentral describes it as "partial 16S ribosomal RNA". It matches the Rfam family "Bacterial small subunit ribosomal RNA", at positions 568 to 796 of the family's 1533-position model. The record is from RNAcentral.
CGUGUAGGCGGCUGGGUAAGUCAGAUGUGAAAGUCCCGGGCUUAACUCGAGAAGUGCAUUUGAUACUGCUCAGCUAGAGUAAGGGAGAGGAAAGUGGAAUUCCUGGUGUAGGGGUGAAAUUCGUAGAUAUCAGGAGGAACACCGGUGGCGAAGGCGGCUUUCUGGCCCUAUACUGACGCUGAGACGCGAAAGCGUGGGGAGCAAACAGGAUUAGAUACCCUGGUAGUCC